UAUAUUGGAUGCAGGGCUGCCUUUCUAUGUAGUCACACUGGGCCUCACACUUAGAAGGACCCCACAGUUGGUUUAAUGCUCUGCUAUUGCUGUCUUGAAAUUCUUAAUAAUUUUUUAACAAGGAGCUCUGUGUUUUCAUUUUUCACUGGACCUGCAAAUUAUGUAACUGGUCCAGACUGGAUAUAAGGAGUGAAGGAAAAGAGGCUAAAGUUAUUACACUUCAAUAUUUGGCUUAAACAACUGGGUGGGUGGUAGGGCACUUUGAGGUACAAUUUGGAAGAGAAAUGAAGAAUUCUGAUUUGAACAUGUUAACUAAGAGCUGCCUCUUAGACAUUGUGGUAUUUGUUGAUGGCUUCCACAGCAUUCGUUUUUCUCUUCGUGAUUCCUAACUAGACCUUGUUUUCCAGGCUCAUGGUUAGGGUUUGAUUGGUUCCAGCUCCAGCCACCCACAAACUGUCCUGACAUGGCAGGCUCUGCCCUACAGGGGCAAAGUGUCAAGUAAACAUAGAAGACUAAUUCUUUUUGUAAUUCUCUUUACCCCUAGAUUAAAGAACAAGGAGAUGGCUGGCUAUUUAAGAAGGAAAGGCAAAGGCUGCAGAAAUUGAGCCUAACGGCUUAUCAGAUGGGAUGGAUAAUUCUUUAAGUUUAAAAGAACUACUCAUUUUCCCCAAUAUCUGUCUUUGCCAUCUUCCUAUCUAAGGAACCUUUCACUUUUUAGCUGGGGACAUAGCUUUCUGGUAUGAGAACUACACUGCUCAAACUUCCAAUCAGCUUGUAUGCACUUGGUGAAUCUUACCUACCACAAACAGGAAGUCUGGAAAGUGAAAAUUUAUUUCCUUUUCACCAUGACCAGCCUUGUUCAGAACAUCUGAGAGGCACAGACCUGAGAAAGAAUCCCCAGGCUGAAGAGGUAGAAGUUGGCAGAAGUUAAAAAGCAAUGUCUCCACAAUGGAGAAGUGACAUGCUAAAGGAACCUGGCAUCCAGACAUUUCCUAACCCCCAAUCCCUCCUUACAUAUGACCUGCUCUUAGAGGAGUACAGCGUGGUGGUUAGGAGUAUGGACUCGGCAGCCAGAAAUCCUGGGAUCUGUUGCUUGUUAGCUGUGGGCCUUAAGCUAAGAACUUAACCUCUCUGUGCCUCAGUUGCUCCAUCUGUUCAAAUGAAGAUAACGAUAAUGAAGAUGAUAUCACCUGCUGUGUAGGAUUGUUAUGAAAAAUCAAGAAUUAAUAUUUGUAAAUCACUUACAGGGUCUGGCACAUAAUAAGUGCUGUGUGGGUGUUUGUUAAAUAAAAUAAUAUACAAUGACA
Molecule: long non-coding RNA, 1307 nt
Organism: Pan troglodytes (chimpanzee)
Lineage: Eukaryota; Metazoa; Chordata; Mammalia; Primates; Hominidae
Exons: 3
Source: RefSeq, a predicted model, not a curated record